RNAcentral lists this long non-coding RNA (2353 nucleotides) under Mus musculus (house mouse). RNAcentral's name for it is "long non-coding RNA chr14:48813370-48815723". The record is from RNAcentral. Lineage: Eukaryota; Metazoa; Chordata; Mammalia; Rodentia; Muridae.
UUUAUGAACUGUUUGAUCAAACUUGUCAUUAACCAAGUGAAACAUUUAAUUUGUAUUAGCAAAAAUGGGACAAAUAAUUAGGAUGGGGGUUACCCAUUUCACUUUUUUCCUUUGGCAUUUUAUAUUUAUCAAACCUGUUCAUCGUUGAUUAAACUUUUCAGGGGAUACACUACGGUUUCUCCCAAAACGAUGGGAAUAUUUUAAGAGAAUACUUAUGAUCUUGUGGUCAUUAAACAAACCAACCAAAUCCAUGCCAGUAACUGGGCCUUGUAGCUGCUAACCUGCAUUCACCACCUUCAUUAGAUGAGAACAAGCCAGCAAAAAGGAACGAGACUUGUGAGAGCAUUCUAGUUGUGCCUACAUUAAAUAGCUAAGGAAUUUUCUCUUUUCUCUUAGUUUUCAGUGCUGGAAACCAAACUCACACUACUCAAGCGCUGUACCUCAGAGUCCCUAUUUUCAGUUUUAAACAACACUGAUAUUAGAUCGUGACAUCUAAUCACACGCUAACAAACGGCACAUGUGUCACAGAGCUCUCCUCUCCUCACAUUUGCGUGCAAUGUCUAUUUCGUUUUUUCUCCUCCAAGUUGCUAUUUAUAUAACACGGAUUGGAGGUGGAAAUAAGCCUGUUGGUUAGGAUUUGUGCUCUUGGGAAAACCUAAGUCAUCAUUUCAGGCAGUUGUAUGACCGUGACCUCAUGGGCACUUGUCGGUAUAGUUAUGACAAUUUGUUAAUGAACUGUUUUUUGUUUUUAAUUGCUUACUUAAUUAUAGGGCAUCAGUAUAAUAGCAUUUCUAAGUUGCAUCAUAAUUGCAUUCAGAGAUGAAAUGUUGGUGGCUAUCAUUUGCUUGCUUCUAAUCAUUUCUUGUUGGUGGAAAAUUUUCCAAAGGGACAUCUUCUUAAACAUGAUGAACUGGUAACCAGCUAUCUGAAAUGUACUUCCCUUAAGCCCGACUGUGUUUGUAAACUAACUUUAGUCUCAUCUGACUCACUGAAUUCACAAACAAUUGCACAUAUAAAGAUAUAUAAAUGUGUUUAAUGUGUUUAAUGAGCACUUAAGUGUGCUCUUGUUUCAGUAACAUAAAGGUCAGAGAUAUGAAGAAAUAAUUGCUGCUGCCUACAUAGAAAUCAUUAGCAUUUUUCACAUGUUUGACUCUGACAGUCUCAAAGAACACUUUAUAAAAAUAGUUCACUGAAAGGGUAUGGCGUUUUCUACACAGCUGUGAUAGUGUUCCAGCACCUAUAUGGAACAUGUAGCUCUCAGUGUUGUCUCAGAUGGUGGGAGUUUGAUUUUGGUAUGUUACUAAUUCUUCAGGUGAAAUGAGGCCCGCUACUCUUUCACGAUAUGAUGCUAUUAUUAAUCUGAGAACACUCCUUUCUUGGCAUGAGUCAAGUUAGCAAAAGUCAGAGAAUUUAGCCCAAUCUCUUAUAAGAUAAAGGAUGACAGAGAACUACGUUUUAAAAGGAGAGCCUUGGCAGAGGCUACUGUGGUCGAAAUGGACCUGUGCCUUCAGUGAAGUUUCUUCUUUACAGUUUAUAGUUGGCUCUCAUGGAAAAACAUUUUCAAUGCAAAACAUUAGUUAUGGGCCCAACAGCAGAGUUCAAACUAUGCAUAGCUGAAGUACAUCCCCCCCCCCCAAAAAUACAAGUAUGAGCCUGCUCAUUGUCACCUACACAAAGAACUGAGUCCCAAAAUCCUUUACUCAACUAAAUUCUUAAUAAGUAAACUGAGACGAACCCUCUAAUACCAGAUUUGUUAAACAACAUGAUUUAGGGCCUUGCUAUUCAUGCACCUUGUAGGACGAAAAUGACUGGGGAAGCUAGAAUCAUGAAAGAGUCAUUUUAUGUAGCUGCUAAAUUCCUCUCAAAUCUCCUUGCAACUUAACGAGCAAAGAAAGCUCAAUGUGUAAUGCCGGCUAAUGUGGUUUAUGUAGAAAAUAGUAUCAACCUAUCUUUGUAGCUUAUCUAAGCCAGGAUAAUACUUUUAGCCUUUAUAGUAGACCCAACUCCAGUUUUUCAACUCUUGACUAUGUAUUUCCUGAAACCCUUUUCCAAAGAGUUAAAUUGGAUGUGAAAUCUGUACCAGGCUAUCCAGCUGCCUUUGUUCUAAGUCUCGCCAGCCGAGCCGAGCCUCUCUAUCACUUUCAUUGCGUUCUGAUUGAGCUUGACAGUGUGACAGGAAAGCAAAGGGGCACAAUUCCAAACUGAAUGAGAGUCUUUUUCAGCCACACAGCAGCCUCCUCCUUAGCCCCUAAGAAAAAGAGGUAACAGAUGCCGAGAGCAAAGCAUCCCCCACAAAGUCCUAACUUUGAUGCGGGCAGAACAAGAAUUAAAAAAAAAAAAAGGAAGGAAGGAA